This 67-nucleotide transfer RNA is filed under the name Marmota monax (woodchuck). RNAcentral describes it as "tRNA.Ala". The record is from RNAcentral. Lineage: Eukaryota; Metazoa; Chordata; Mammalia; Rodentia; Sciuridae.
GGCUGUAGCUCAGUGGCAGAGCGCUUGCCUAGCAUGUGUGAGGCUCUGGGUUCGAUCUUCAGCACCA